Molecule: non-coding RNA, 198 nt
Filed under: Novosphingobium aromaticivorans
Lineage: Bacteria; Pseudomonadati; Pseudomonadota; Alphaproteobacteria; Sphingomonadales; Sphingomonadaceae
Also listed under: 1 other name
Source: RNAcentral
UGGCGCGCCGACGCCAGAGGUGCCCGGUAACACGGGCUAAGAGGGAAGCCGGUUCGAUUCCGGCGCUGCCCCCGCAACUGUAACCGGAUAGCGCGUCGCCCAUUCAUGCCACUGGUGUCGGCUUCGGCCAGCACCGGGAAGGCGGGCGACGAGCCGUGACCCGGAAGCCAGGAAACCUGCCCUUGGUUGUCGUUCCGC